GGGUCGGUGGUUCAGUGGUAGAAUUCUCGCCUGCCACGCGGGCGGCCCGGGUCCGAUUCCCGGCCGACGCA
Non-coding RNA from Ascaris lumbricoides (common roundworm), 71 nucleotides. NCBI's taxonomy places the organism in Eukaryota, Metazoa, Nematoda, Chromadorea, Rhabditida, Ascarididae. The record is from Rfam.